Molecule: ribosomal RNA, 314 nt
Filed under: uncultured bacterium
Lineage: Bacteria
Description: bacterial SSU rRNA
Rfam family: Bacterial small subunit ribosomal RNA
Source: RNAcentral
GAUGAACGCUAGCUACAGGCUUAACACAUGCAAGUCGCGGGGCAGCAUGACAUCAGCUUGCUGAUGUUGAUGGCGACCGGCGCACGGGUGAGUAACACGUAUCCAACCUGCCGAUGACUCGGGGAUAGCCUUUCGAAAGAAAGAUUAAUACCCGAUGGCAUAGUUCUUCCGCAUGGUAGGACUAUUAAAGAAUUUCGGUCAUCGAUGGGGAUGCGUUCCAUUAGCUUGUUGGCGGGGUAACGGCCCACCAAGGCAUCGAUGGAUAGGGGUUCUGAGAGGAAGGUCCCCCACAUUGGAACUGAGACACGGUCCAA